RNAcentral lists this ribosomal RNA (499 nucleotides) under uncultured Glomus. Its description in RNAcentral is "SSU rRNA". It matches the Rfam family "Eukaryotic small subunit ribosomal RNA", at positions 569 to 1074 of the family's 1831-position model. Lineage: Eukaryota; Fungi; Glomeromycota; Glomeromycetes; Glomerales; Glomeraceae. The record is from RNAcentral.
CGCAGCCGCGGUAAUUCCAGCUCCAAUAGCGUAUAUUAAAGUUGUUGCAGUUAAAAAGCUCGUAGUUGAAUUUCGGGAUCAAUAUGUUGGUCGUGCCUUGGUACGUACUGGCAUUAUCGAUUCCUACCUUCUGAAGAACCUCGAUGUCAUUAAUUUGGUGUCUUGGGGAAUCAGGACUGUUACUUUGAAAAAUUAGAGUGUUUAAAGCAGGCUCGCGCUUGAAUACAUUAGCAUGGAAUAAUGAAAUAGGACGUUUGAUUCUAUUUUGUUGGUUUCUAGGAUCGACGUAAUGAUUAAUAGGGAUAGUUGGGGGCAUUAGUAUUCAAUUGUCAGAGGUGAAAUUCUUGGAUUUAUUGAAGACUAACUACUGCGAAAGCAUUUGCCAAGGAUGUUUUCAUUAAUCAAGAACGAAAGUUAGGGGAUCGAAGACGAUCAGAUACCGUCGUAGUCUUAACCAUAAACUAUGCCGACUAGGGAUCGGAUGAUGUUAAUUUUUAAU